AGAGUUUGAUCCUGGCUCAGGAUGAACGCUGGCGGCGUGCUUAACACAUGCAAGUCGAACGAAGCACUUAUCUUUGAUUCUUCGGAUGAAGAGGUUUGUGACUGAGUGGCGGACGGGUGAGUAACGCGUGGGUAACCUGCCUCAUACAGGGGGAUAACAGUUAGAAAUGACUGCUAAUACCGCAUAAGACCACGGAGCCGCAUGGCUCAGUGGGAAAAACUCCGGUGGUAUGAGAUGGACCCGCGUCUGAUUAGGUAGUUGGUGGGGUAACGGCCUACCAAGCCAACGAUCAGUAGCCGACCUGAGAGGGUGACCGGCCACAUUGGGACUGAGACACGGCCCAAACUCCUACGGGAGGCAGCAGUGGGGAAUAUUGCACAAUGGGGGAAACCCUGAUGCAGCGACGCCGCGUGAGCGAAGAAGUAUUUCGGUAUGUAAAGCUCUAUCAGCAGGGAAGAAAAUGACGGUACCUGACUAAGAAGCACCGGCUAAAUACGUGCCAGCAGCCGCGGUAAUACGUAUGGUGCAAGCGUUAUCCGGAUUUACUGGGUGUAAAGGGAGCGUAGACGGCUGUGUAAGUCUGAAGUGAAAGCCCGGGGCUCAACCCCGGGACUGCUUUGGAAACUAUGCAGCUAGAGUGUCGGAGAGGUAAGUGGAAUUCCCAGUGUAGCGGUGAAAUGCGUAGAUAUUGGGAGGAACACCAGUGGCGAAGGCGGCUUACUGGACGAUGACUGACGUUGAGGCUCGAAAGCGUGGGGAGCAAACAGGAUUAGAUACCCUGGUAGUCCACACCGUAAACGAUGAUUACUAGGUGUUGGAGGAUUGACCCCUUCAGUGCCGCAGUUAACACAAUAAGUAAUCCACCUGGGGAGUACGACCGCAAGGUUGAAACUCAAAGGAAUUGACGGGGGCCCGCACAAGCAGUGGAGUAUGUGGUUUAAUUCGACGCAACGCGAAGAACCUUACCAAGUCUUGACAUCCUGCGACGGUUCUGGAAACAGAACUUUCCUUCGGGACGCAGAGACAGGUGGUGCAUGGUUGUCGUCAGCUCGUGUCGUGAGAUGUUGGGUUAAGUCCCGCAACGAGCGCAACCCUUAUGGUCAGUUACUACGCAAGAGGACUCUGGCCAGACUGCCGUUGACAAAACGGAGGAAGGUGGGGAUGACGUCAAAUCAUUAUGCCCUUUAUGACUUGGGCUACACACGUACUACAAUGGCGUUAAACAAAGAGAAGCAAGACCGCGAGGUGGAGCAAAACUCAGAAACAGCGUCCCAGUUCGGACUGCAGGCUGCAACUCGCCUGCACGAAGUCGGAAUUGCUAGUAAUCGUGGAUCAGCAUGCCACGGUGAAUACGUUCCCGGGCCUUGCACACACCGCCCGUCA
Molecule: ribosomal RNA, 1383 nt
Filed under: uncultured bacterium
Lineage: Bacteria
Description: bacterial SSU rRNA
Rfam family: Bacterial small subunit ribosomal RNA
Source: RNAcentral